This 76-nucleotide transfer RNA is filed under the name Deltaproteobacteria bacterium RBG_16_71_12. RNAcentral's name for it is "tRNA-Gly". It matches the Rfam family "tRNA". Rfam says of the family: Transfer RNA (tRNA) molecules are approximately 80 nucleotides in length. Their secondary structure includes four short double-helical elements and three loops (D, anti-codon, and T loops). The record is from RNAcentral. Lineage: Bacteria; Deltaproteobacteria. RNAcentral also lists the same sequence under 1 other name.
GCGGGAGUAGCUCAGUUGGUAGAGCACGAGCUUCCCAAGCUUGAGGUCGCGGGUUCGAGCCCCGUCUCCCGCUCCA